UGGGGAAUAUUGGACAAUGGGCGAAAGCCUGAUCCAGCCAUGCCGCGUGUGUGAAGAAGGCCUUUUGGUUGUAAAGCACUUUAAGCGAGGAGGAGGCUACUUAGAUUAAUACUCUAGGAUAGUGGACGUUACUCGCAGAAUAAGCACCGGCUAACUCUGUGCCAGCAGCCGCGGUAAUACAGAGGGUGCGAGCGUUAAUCGGAUUUACUGGGCGUAAAGCGUGCGUAGGCGGCUUUUUAAGUCGGAUGUGAAAUCCCUGAGCUUAACUUAGGAAUUGCAUUCGAUACUGGGAAGCUAGAGUAUGGGAGAGGAUGGUAGAAUUCCAUGUGUAGCGGUGAAAUGCGUAGAGAUCUGGAGGAAUACCGAUGGCGAAGGCAGCCAUCUGGCCUAAUACUGACGCUGAGGUACGAAAGCAUGGGGAGCAAACAGG
This 430-nucleotide ribosomal RNA is filed under the name Acidobacteriota bacterium. Its description in RNAcentral is "Acidobacteria bacterium partial 16S ribosomal RNA". It matches the Rfam family "Bacterial small subunit ribosomal RNA", at positions 355 to 776 of the family's 1533-position model. Lineage: Bacteria; Pseudomonadati; Acidobacteriota. The record is from RNAcentral.